ACCGGAAAAGGCUAUAAGAAUUGCCUGAAUAUUAUAUCCUUGAGCUUAAGAAUAUCAGGCUAUUCGUUUGUGGAGUGAUUCGGUUGUUUUUGGGAUUAUUGAGUUAUCUAAGUCUAAUUUCUUAUCGCUAUAUCUUCCCGCCUUUAGCCCCAGCUACCAGAAACUGCAGUAGAUUAUCUGGCAAUAAUUCGAGGAAUAUUCUAUCUGCGAAGUUGCUCGAUUCCAAGCUGUGCCUUGCUCGCUUUUUUGUCGUAUCGAGGCAGAAAAAUUUUUUAUUCGACUCAAAAUGGCGAGAGCAGCAGCAGCGGCAAUUCGAAUGCCCCACCGCAGCAGCGCGUUUUCCAACCAGCACACACACACGACGAAGUGAAAAAUACGAUUUUUUCCAGCCAAAUUUAACCCACUUACCCGGCCCGGAUUUUUAUCUGCUUACUUGCAAAAAAUAUACAAAAAUUUAAAUUUUAGAAUUCCAAUAAUUUCAGAGCAUUCGGUUAAAGUUAAGAUAAAGAAAUGUUUGCACAAAUUUUGCCUUAAAAAAUUCGAGUGUAGAAAACGCGACUUGCGAUUCUUUCGACGUGAUACAGAAAGAGUAAGCAAAUGGGAAUGAUAGAGGCCGAUAGCGCUCAGCUGAUUGUAGCGCGCCAAAGCGACCAAAUCACGCAUCUAACAAUGAUGCCACUUUUCAAUGUCGAUAGGGGGAUAAUUUCAUUCUUAAACUGAGGUAACAAAAUGCAUAUAUACUUUAUAACGACACUUUUGUUUAGAAUAUAAUUCAUAAUGAUAAACAAGCAUUAUGUAUUUUCAAAUAUCUGCAUAUGUAUGAACAUGCAUUGUUCUUCAAAGACUACAGACAUAAUCUAAAGUCGUAUAUAUCUGUCCGACCCUAAUGUCAAAUUUAAUGCACUAGAGCCGUAUUAAAUACUUUUAUAAAAUCAAUACAUAAUUGGAAGCAUGAUAAAAACAUAACCACUAUAACUAUAUUUUUAUCAUGAUUGGAACUGGAAAAUAAUCCUCUUACAAAACUCUUGUUAUAUUUCAUUAAAGAAAGAAGUCAUAUGCAUAAUGUAGAAAAAAUGUUAUCCAU
Long non-coding RNA from Rhagoletis zephyria (snowberry fruit fly), 1084 nucleotides. RefSeq lists it as uncharacterized. Lineage: Eukaryota; Metazoa; Arthropoda; Insecta; Diptera; Tephritidae. The record is from RefSeq and is a predicted model, not a curated record.